This is a long non-coding RNA of Nicotiana tabacum (common tobacco), 894 nucleotides long. RefSeq lists it as uncharacterized. NCBI's taxonomy places the organism in Eukaryota, Viridiplantae, Streptophyta, Magnoliopsida, Solanales, Solanaceae. The record is from RefSeq and is a predicted model, not a curated record.
AUUGUUGGAUAUAGGUUCUUUUUUAUUUGUUCUUCAAUUCUCUAAGCAAAUGUGUGUCCCAUUUCAAAAUCUCUCCUUUUCCAACUUUCAUCCACUUUAAUUUCUCCAAACUAAAGCUUCUUCCCCCUUCUUUCUGUCUUUUGUUCUCUCUUUCUCUCUUUCCUUUGUGCUGUCUUCAAUUGAUUAAUUAUUGCAUGGCAACAUUGAGAAAAACUGAAAUCUCCACAUUUAACUCUCACUCUUUCAUUUUCUUCUUCACCCUUUUCUUCCUCUUCCUCAUUUUUGUUCAGUCUUCUUCUGAUCAUGAUCAUGAUACUGAUUCCUUUAAACCUUCCUCGCAAAAUUCAUAUCAUUCCUCUUUAGCUACAGCUUCAAUUAACUUGAACUCAAGAAAAAUCCCCAUAAAUCCUAGUACAUCUUCUUCUUCAUCAUCUUCUUCUAGUGAUACCUCUAGACAAUUUGAAGCUAGUGAGCAUGCAGUUCCUAGCGGGCCGAAUCCAUCAUCAAACCGGACCUAGAGUCAGCAGCGCAGUUCCAUUCCGGUUCCAGGAUUUAGAGUCAACAAUGAAUGUAAUCUUAUUACAUGUAUAAAUUUUAUACCGAACCUUUUCUUUAUAUGCAUAGAUAGUUCGAGUUGAAAACAAUAAGUCCAAUUGUACACACAGAAGAAUAGUCUCUUCUUAUGCAUAUAUAGUUCGAGUUGAAAACAGUAAGUUCAAUUGAACUCCCUUUAGAUCCGCCUCUUCAAAGGCCGACAAAGAAGAUUAGCAAAAGGAAGCUUGAAAAUAAGGAUAUACAUAGGUGAAUAUCAGAGUUUGUAACGGCGUUUAAUAUUUAUUGUUGUUUCAUCAUCUAUUCUGAUCAGCCAUUAAUGCUACUUGUCUUCUUCACUGA